GACGAACGCUGGCGGCGUGCCUAAUACAUGCAAGUCGACCUUAGUGGCGAACGGGUGAGUAACACGUGGGUAACCUGCCCAUCAGAAGGGGAUAACACUUGGAAACAGGUGCUAAUACCGUAUACUGAUGGAUGGACCCGCCGUGAAUUAGCUAGUUGGUGAGGUAACGGCUCACCAAGGCCACGAUGCAUAGCCGACCUGAGAGGGUAAACGGCCACAUUAGGACUGAGACAAGGCCCAAACUCCUACGGGAGGCAGCAGUAGGGAAACUUAGGAAAUGGAAGAAAGUCUGAACGAGCAACGCCGCGGUAGUGAAGAAGGUUUUCGGAACGUAAAACUCUGUUGUUAGAGAAGCGGUAUCUAACCAGAAAGCCACGGCUAACUACGUGCCAGCAGCCGCGGUAAUUC
Molecule: ribosomal RNA, 408 nt
Filed under: uncultured bacterium
Lineage: Bacteria
Description: partial 16S ribosomal RNA
Rfam family: Bacterial small subunit ribosomal RNA
Source: RNAcentral